UGCAGUAGAUCCGGGUCUUCUCUUC
This 25-nucleotide non-coding RNA is filed under the name Rattus norvegicus (Norway rat). Lineage: Eukaryota; Metazoa; Chordata; Mammalia; Rodentia; Muridae. The record is from RNAcentral.